GACGAACGCUGGCGGCGUGCUUAACACAUGCAAGUCGAGCGGUAAGGCCCUUUCGGGGGUACACGAGCGGCGAACGGGUGAGUAACACGUGGGUGACCUGCCCUCAGUUCUGGGAUAAGCCUGGGAAACCGGGUCUAAUACUGGAUAUGACUCAUGACGCAUGUUGUGGGGUGGAAAGCCUUGUGCGACUGAGGAUGGGCCCGCGGCCUAUCAGCUUGUUGGUGGGGU
This 228-nucleotide ribosomal RNA is filed under the name uncultured bacterium. Its description in RNAcentral is "partial 16S ribosomal RNA". It matches the Rfam family "Bacterial small subunit ribosomal RNA", at positions 28 to 258 of the family's 1533-position model. The record is from RNAcentral.